AGUGAACGCUGGCGGCGUGCCUAAUACAUGCAAGUCGAACGGAGUGGAGCACGGGUGAGUAAUGUAUAGCUAAUCUGCCCUACACUAGAGGACAACCGUUGGAAACGGCUGCUAAUACUCUAUAGUGUAGGAUGAGGCUAUAUUGUAUCAGCUAGUGGGUGAGGUAAUGGCUCACCAAGGCUAUGACGCAUAACUGGUCUGAGAGGAUGAUCAGUGCCACUGGAACAGAGACACGGUGCAGACACCUACGGGAGGGAGCAGUAGGGAGUAUUGCUCAAUGGGGGGAACCCUGAAGCGGCAACGCGGCGUGGAGGAUGACACUUUUCGGAGCGGAAACUCCUUUUUUUAGGGAAGCGGUACCUAACGAAUAAGCACCGGCUAACUCCGUGCCAGCAGCCGCGGUAAUAC
RNAcentral lists this ribosomal RNA (408 nucleotides) under uncultured bacterium. RNAcentral's name for it is "partial 16S ribosomal RNA". It matches the Rfam family "Bacterial small subunit ribosomal RNA", at positions 29 to 526 of the family's 1533-position model. The record is from RNAcentral.